Non-coding RNA from Chrysemys picta bellii (western painted turtle), 6718 nucleotides. The record is from RefSeq and is a predicted model, not a curated record. Lineage: Eukaryota; Metazoa; Chordata; Testudines; Emydidae.
AAGUGAGGAGUUACUGUAUUAGAAAAAAAUUAUUUAAAAGUCCUUUAGAAAUAAAGCCUGGUACUGCUAGAGUUUGAGGCCCUUUGAGUCCCACUGAAGGACAGCAGUCCACACAAACUAAUAUGUAGUUGACAGUGUUUUAAAAAAUGUCAAAGGACACUUCACUAAGUAAGCUGGGGUAGGGCAGAGGGAGGGAGUUUGAAACCACUGGGCCACUGCCCCCAGCCACUGGAGAGUAAUGUCAGUGGGAGUUGAGGGUUCUCAGUGCCUUCCAGGAGGCCUCAGCACCUCACAAGAUUGAUACUGCAAAGAUCUAUGUUAAUAAAAAUCAUUGCUUGCACUGAAGAGAGUAAGGAAGGAGUGGGCUUGCCUGUAUUGAUUAAGCUCAUCCCCCUUUCUAGGUGUUGUCUGCUAUACCAUCUUUUGCCAGGAACUAUUUUUAUCUUGGCUCAUAAAGAUAUUUAUGAAAAACAAAUACUUUACCUUAGAAUUGACCAUGUAUCUGUCAUGUCCAAUAGUUUAAAAAAAAAUUGGGAACCUGCUUUGCAUUGCAUCACUAUUUCAUUGGAUUUCCCCAGUGUAAGGGAGAUCCUCUGGUAAUACAGAUAUUGGUGUAGGCUCUUAAACCACACCCCAGUAGCUGCUUCUGUGUGGGCAUGGCUAUGACAUGCCUAACUAAGUCCACCCUUGACUGCUGUUUAAUUAUCUUGGGGCUGUUAGCAGCCCGUGCAUAUUUAAAAAAAAAAAAUCAGUUAGGCAGCAAUUAUGCCUGGGGACCAGCUCUGUACGCAGUAACCCCAGGACUGAGGGAGUGCAAAAGUAAGUUUCAUGCCAACUUUGCCCUACUCAGGACUUGCAGCAUGUGCUACUCAGCCAUGUCCAAAGGUCUGACCCUUUAUCUCUCUUCUCUCAUGCAAAUUACUCAUUAUACACUGGAUAAAGUAGUAGAUAAUGGUGGCUCAGGCAUAAUUUAACUCAAAUAUUGAAAGCUCUUAAUUAGGGCCAUCAUAAUGGACAGUUACAGAAAAUAAUAACCCUGGGGUAAUGGGAAAAUUUCUGAUGUGGAUUAAAAUCUUGUAAAAUGGUGUUUGAAAAGACAGACAAAUAAAUAAAAGGAGAGAAAACAAUAGGGAAUUAUUUUUCAAAGGGGAAUGACUCAUUCCUAAAAACUGACUUUUACAAUAUACAGUUGAAGUGGGGGUGGGGGGGUGUGACGUUGAUGAAGUUUGCUGUUGACCCUAAAUUGCUCCCAUUAUUAAAAUCUCCAGAUGCAUUUAAUUGCGUUGUAGAUGGGUGGCUAGAGGAAUAGUGGGAUUUAUUUAUUCUGUCUUGUCACUCGAUACAAAACUGGAAGUACUUUACUAUGAUGAUGAGGGCCAUAUAAGAACAUGAAUAGAAUAAGAGAGGGAAAAACCUAAGUAUAUUUUGUCAGAAGCUAGAACUGUUAGAAUUAACUUGAUCGAUGGUCUUAGAAUUAUGGAGGGCAGAACAAAACAUUAUCUGUCUCUCAUUUCACUUUGUCCCAAUAGAUGAAAACCAAGAUGACGCCUGAAAAAAAGUAAAUAUAGAUGAUAUAUUUGUAACUACUUGUAACUUUCUAGACGAAAGUGAUGGUGGUGUUUUUUUCCUUUGUGUUCACUAUAUUUACAAGAACAAAUCAAUCAUUACAAUGUACCUGCAUGUAGUAAUUUGAACUUCAGUAGUGAAACUACUUGGUAUGUUUAGUGAAAAAUGAGAAAUAGAAAUAUGAAUUCAGAGCUACGAUAAGAAACACACAUCCACUGAAACAAUGAAGCUGUACUUGCUUCCACCAAGUCCGAAUAUGGCCUUUAGUCAAUAAAGUAAGAUAAUACAAAUUGUUUUUGGUCAAAUAAAUGUGUCCUUUUCCUUUUCUGUCUAUGUAGCUCCUGAAUACAAGACUUUUUCCCCUUAAUUCCAUGAUGGUAGAAAAUGGGUAUGCAACUUCCAGAUGGAAUGUUCGUUUCAACACUGAUUGAUUGGCACAGCUUCCUACCGGAAUAUUUGCAUCAACUCGAGGCCUCUACCAGAUGUAGCCCUGACGGGGAAAUGUACUCGAGAGUGUGAUGAAUAUGGUCACUCGGACUCCUGCUGGAUGCCAGUUCGCACUUCGCCUGAAAGGAAGCAGAAGAGCCAGCCAAAACUCUCCACCUUCAUGCCUGUUGAUGAACGGGGCAGUCAGGAAAAGCUAGCCAAUGGAGAAGCCUCCCUCAUGGGUGAUCGCAACAGAAACCUCCUGAACAAAAAGUUGACCUCAUCCUAUGAGACCUUCAACGCAGCUAGCUUCAGCAAAAAUGAGGAAGCCAAUCCAGAGGAUAUCCCCCUUACACAGACAGGGGAAUACAAGCCAUCUCCUGUCAAUACUCUAACUAGAAGAGAAGUUUACCUGUAGGUUAUAAAGAAGCCACAACAAGGUUCAUUCAUGUAUAAGAAGGAUAAGGGGCAAAAAAUCUUAAAAUCAAAACAGUUUAGCACGAAAAAAGGAGGGGGGAAAAAAGAGGGGGCCACCAAAGAGACAAAAGCUUUGCCUGCCACUUCUGCCUCCAUAUCAGGCAUUUAAUUAUAUAGUCCGCCUGACUAUACUGUACAAUGUAGAAACCAUUGUUGUUACUUGCAUGUCUAAUCCCCCUCACUGAUUUUUAUUUUCUUAAAUUUCUGGUUGCAAAUUGCUUUCAUGGUAACAAGCCUGAUUAAAAGAACACAACACACUGUUGUUACCCCUCUGCUGAAGCAUGAUUUAAGCCACUCUGAUUUUGUUUGAUUGUCACCUGGCUUGUUAAGGAUAACCGGUCAGGGAAAAUAUACUCCAAGCAUAUCAUCUGAAUAUUGCUGAUCCCCAUCAGGGAUGAUCCUUUAGAAACCAUACAAACAUAGAGGUAAAUAUAAAGAGAUGGCCAUUAAUAGGCACUUUGUGAAGAUCACAGCUUUAAUUUUCUCACCUGAGGCUUGAAACAAGAGAAUUAUACUCCGCCUGAGACUGUAGUCCAAAAGGUGGCAUAUUUCCCUAUGAAUCAUGAACUCUGGGUUCUGUUUUUAUCCAUAGAAUGAACUCUAUCGGCUUACUUCAGCGUAACAAAAUUAAUGUCAUAUGUACCGUAGCAUACUAAUGAUAAACUGUUAAACUCAUGUUAUUUUGGACAAGACGUAUAUCUAGUUGGGAUGAUCAUAGUAACUAAAAAGGCCAAAGAUCGCACUAUGGAUCAGGGGAAUUGCUAAGUAUUUGGUCUUGGCUUAGAAAUCUAGUGUACCAACAAACCAUAUGCAUGCACACAUAAAUACACAUUCAAUUACAUUUUGCACAGCAGCAUAGUCCACAAUCCCAGAUGACCUACUACUACUUCAAUGGAUUUUAGUAGAAUGCCCGAAGGAACCGCUAAGAUGUUUGCUGAUAAUGUUAUAACAACAUACAGCAUCUAUUGUAUGAUAUGAUACUGCCAGUUCCAAGGAAUAUUUUCCAAAAGGUUACCUUUUAAAUAAAUAAAUAAAACUCAGAGGCUGUGUUGAUGUCACCCAGAACACUUUUGGGGGAAGAUGGAUGGCGGGGAAAUGGUGUGAUGCAGUGACAAGAGUAUAUUGCAAGUCAAGUAAAAUUUCUUCUUUUCACAGUGCAAGAUAUGCUUGCUAAAUCUUUUGUCAUCAAUGUUGCUAACUGUGUUUGUGAAAGGUAUGAUGCAGGUUUUCUUGAAACACAAGUGCAUUAAAACAGUCCUGUGCAAUAUGAAACAAUGUCAAGACUCAACACACUUAAGGAGGGUAAUAAAUGGUCAGAUUGACUUGAACAUUGAUAUGAUACUUUACAUGGUAGAUUGAGAGAAGUCACAAGGAAUCCAAACUAAUCAUGAUAGCAAAGAGCUAUGGCCAGUGACGAUUCUCACAGUAUGCACUUCGUAAAGGGAAUAGGAAACAAAACAGCUUUUUUGUGCAAUAAAAGCAACAAAAUGUAUAAGAAGGACUUGAGCUAGUUGCUUCGUAGCUGAUGAUGUAGUAAUAAUUGAAUACUGAAUUCAGACAUUCAGAUGAAAAUGACAAUCAGUCAACACAGUGCGGACAGUUUGAGAAGGGUGCAAACAUUCUAAUCCCUGGGUGUUUAACCUGGCAUUAGGGCAUGGCUAGAUGGCUGUCUAGUAGACUGUAGUCACAAUGUAGCUUUGGGUAGUUUCUUCCUUUUGAAGAAUUACAUAGAAAAUAUAACAUUAAACAGCCUGAAAUAUAGGUUGAUAAAUCAGUACAACUCAUCACAACAUUUACUUUUCAAAUUCUCUUCUCUAUAUAGAGGGGUGCCCUUUUUGGCCAUUACAUUCCCCUCUUAAGUUUAGUUUUCAUUUUGAUGCUAGUUUGUGUGUAGAAGUUAUGAUGAAUGGAGACAUGUUAUGAAGAAAAAAUAUUAAAACAAAGAUUAAUAAUUGAACUUUUUUACAUUUAAUUAUUUAAAUUAUGGAGAGAUGCAAAUUAGUACUUUAUGAUAAGACUGUAAAGAAAAGUUACUGCAUUGUAUAAUCUGUAAGUACCUGUUAAGGGGGAAAAAAAGAUUCUAAAGAUGCUUCUGUAAUGUAUACACAGUUUUAUUGCACGCUUCAACAGAAUUGCAUAACAGAUGUUCAACAAAACUUUUUUUCUUUAAUAGGAACUUUUUAUCUUAAUACUACAGUUGAAAACCACUAGAUGACUUGUUUAAGUACAUCUUUAAACCCUUUGUCUAAAAAGCUAAUAACACAGGUCAAACAAGACCUUCAGAUUAAAUGGAUCAGCAGUCACUCACCUGUUUUUGCACCACAUAAGGCAGUCAUGCCAUUGUCAUUUACUUGUGAGCAACUCCUUAGAACGAAAAUGGGUGUGAAAAGAAUAAAAAAAAAUCAAUCUACUUUAAAUAUUCACAGUACUUCUAGUAGAACUACCCAUCAUAACAUGUCAAUUACUAUUAUGACCUGGCAUGACACAGAAAUACAUUUUGUGUUUGUAGUUUUUUUCAUUUGAAAUAGGUUAAUCUGGUGCCACUCCACAUAUAGAGUGCUUUUGUAAAAAUAAACACAAACGAAAUGAAGUAUAAAAAAAAAAAAAAUUUAAGAGCGAAUGCAAAAUAUGCAACCGUGCCUUUUAUACCUGUUGUUAUAGUAGAAAGGUGAUUGGGUUUGGGCACUGAGGGGUAAUGGGCUAUUCCCAACUUUUUUGAACCUGUAUAUUGAUCCUUGUUUAUUUUCUGAUAAAUUAUAAAUAAUAUAUUUAAAAAAAUGCCUUCUGCCAAACUCCGAUAUUGGACCAGUCUUAAGUAUCUUUGAUUAUGAAAACCAGAUUGUAGCUUAGGUAUGUGCUGCUUUUUUGUUUUCCUUCCAAUCUAUUGCCUAGAAGGCUACAGUAUAGAUCACAAUAGGUAAAUACCAUAUAGUUAUUUAGCAAGGUGUCAUAAGUUCAUUUUGCCAGGAAAAUUGAUGAUUUAGUGUCGCUUAAUUGCUUCUAGCUGCCAUUCCAUUUUGGUUGUACAGUAUAAAAAUUGUCCUUUUUUUCCUUCCAUGGGAAACUCAAAUGAACUUUGCAUGUAUUUUACAUUAGGACACAUUUAUAGAUGACGCAUAACUAUAUAACUUUAUAUGUAUUAGAGAAGUCUGUAGCUUCAGUCUAAAAUCUAAUGCUCCCUCUGAACCUCCAGAUCUACUAUAUUAUUCAAUAUGGUUUCUGACUGGCCUGCUGCCUGAGUUUCAGAAAAAAACAAACAAGGUAGACAUUAUUUUUAUGUGAGGAAGAACUAAAACGGGAUCGAAGAUGCUUGGCUGAAAGGCUACCCUAGGAAGUUGUCAAGUAGGAAAUGUAGAGCAAAGCCAAAUGAAUCUGCCAUAAAUACAGCUGUUGCUAAAAGGCUUUUAAGGAACUUGAACAACAAAGCAGUUUCGUAUGUUAUAUCAGUUAUAAAUAUACAGUGUUUCCUUAAGAAAUGAAAGAGAGUAGAGGACAACAGUAGAAAUGAAUGUAGUCCAGCAAUUAAACUGAGCUGCUGCCCGAAGAGCAUAACACAUGGAAGAAGGCAUCAUUUUCCAGCUACCUGGGGUACACUUUCAGACAACUUUUUCCUAAAUUUUAAAGCACUUGCAUUCAGUGUGGUACGAUCUGUUUGUAAUAUUAAUCAUUGACUAUUGUUCUGCAACUUGGAUGUUGAUAGUGAAGCAGAGAACAAUUUAUCAUUGUUUAUUAUGAGUCACUAUGCACGCACCUAUGCUAAACAUGGCAAAAUGUAUUAAAUGCUAGUCCACCUCUAUUUAUGAAAUAUUUUACAUAAUUUAAUUUGCUUUUGUACAGUUUUAUGUAAAUAAAUUGCUUGUCAUUUUUGUCUCUGCAAAUUAAAAAUAUAACAUGUUCAAAUGGUUGCCUAUUGGCCAGCGUACUUUCUCUGACAGGUUAUUUCACUUUGGAAGACAUUGAACAAAUUCAUAGGCUAGUUUGAGCAGAACAUUCAGAUCUAUUUCAUGCAUGUAAAAAAAAAAUGCUGCUCUGGUAACUGGCCCCUUCAGCUGGCAAUGUAACUGUGGCAUUACUUUUCUCUGUAGUGAAGUGCACUAUGGAUUAGUUACAUUCCACACUUCAAGUUCUGACUACUACUUGGCCUGUUUUAACUGGAGAAAUAAAAUAUUUGGCAUGGUAGUACUUCUUUCCCUUUAACAUUGAAAGUGACCUGUCUUUUUAAAGCAUUUAGAAAAUGUUUACAUUAAAG